Molecule: ribosomal RNA, 508 nt
Filed under: uncultured bacterium
Lineage: Bacteria
Description: partial 16S ribosomal RNA
Rfam family: Bacterial small subunit ribosomal RNA
Source: RNAcentral
AUUGAACGCUGGCGGCAGGCCUAACACAUGCAAGUCGAGCGGCAGCGGGAAAGUAGCUUGCUACUUUUGCCGGCGAGCGGCGGACGGGUGAGUAAUGCCUGGGAAAUUGCCCAGUCGAGGGGGAUAACAGUUGGAAACGACUGCUAAUACCGCAUACGCCCUACGGGGGAAAGCAGGGGACCUUCGGGCCUUGCGCGAUUGGAUAUGCCCAGGUGGGAUUAGCUAGUUGGUGAGGUAAUGGCUCACCAAGGCGACGAUCCCCAGCUGGUCUGGGAGGAUGAUCAGCCACACUGGAACUGAGACACGGUCCAGACUCCUACGGGAGGCAGCAGUGGGGAAUAUUGCACAAUGGGGGAAACCCUGAUGCAGCCAUGCCGCGUGUGUGAAGAAGGCCUUCGGGUUGUAAAGCACUUUCAGCGAGGAGGAAAGGUUGAUGCCUAAUACGUAUCAACUGUGACGUUACUCGCAGAAGAAGCACCGGCUAACUCCGUGCCAGCCGCCGCGGUAA